AAGAGGGGGACUUCAGGGAAAGAAGCUGACCCAUCCUUGGUGCUUGUGAAGACAUCUAUGUGAUGACUGGGGCUGGAUCCCUGGGCCGCGGCAGUAGUCAGAGACCACGGAGGAGGAGAGGGGCCACGGAAGAGGCCAGAAGGAGAGGCUGUUGAGGAGACAACCAGAAGGCUGCCAUCAGCAAACCAGGAAGCAGGACCCCUUCCUAUGUCACGUCCACCAGCACCUCACCCAAGGUGGACCUCCCGGCCUCUGGGACUGUGAGAA
This is a long non-coding RNA of Mustela erminea (ermine), 267 nucleotides long. RefSeq lists it as uncharacterized. The transcript has 3 exons. NCBI's taxonomy places the organism in Eukaryota, Metazoa, Chordata, Mammalia, Carnivora, Mustelidae. The record is from RefSeq and is a predicted model, not a curated record.